Molecule: ribosomal RNA, 253 nt
Filed under: uncultured bacterium
Lineage: Bacteria
Description: partial 16S ribosomal RNA
Rfam family: Bacterial small subunit ribosomal RNA
Source: RNAcentral
AACGUAGGACGCAAGCGUUAUCCGGAGUUACUGGGCGUAAAGCGCGGGCAGGCGGUCUUGCCAGUCUGAUGUGAAAUCUCUCAGCUCAACUGGGAGCAGCCAUUGGAAACUACAAGACUGGAGUCUGGCAGAGGUAGGCGGAAUUCCGGGUGGAGUGGUGAAAUGCGUAGAGAUCCGGAGGAACACCAGAGGCGAAGGCGGCCUACUGGGCCAGUACUGACGCUGAGCCGCGAAAGCCAGGGGAGCGAACGGG